GAUGAACGCUGGCGGCGUGCCUAAUACAUGCAAGUCGAGCGAACAGACCAUGCGCUUGCUCCUCUGACGUUUGCGGCGGGCGGGUGAGAAACACGUGUAUAACCUACCUAUCUUACUGGUAUAACUUCGGGAAACCGGAUAUUAUCCCGGAUAAUCUCUUGAACCGUAUUGGUCGUUGGAGAAUGUCGGCUUUGGGGUCUCGAAUCGCUGCUUACGAGCUGCAUUAGCUAGUUGUGAAGUUAACGGCUUACCACGGCAACGAUGCGUAGCCGACCUGAUAGGGGGAUCGGCCACACUGGAACUGGGCCGCGGUCCAGACUCCUACGGGAGGCAGCAGUAGGGAAUCUGCCGCAGUGGGCGAAAGCCUGACGGAGCAACGGCGCGUGAGUGAUGAAGGUCUUCGGAGCGGAAAACUCUGUUAUUAGGGAAGAACAAAUGUGUAAGUAACUAUGCACGUCGUGACGGUACCUAAUCAGGAAGCCACGGCUAACUACGUG
RNAcentral lists this ribosomal RNA (497 nucleotides) under uncultured bacterium. RNAcentral describes it as "partial 16S ribosomal RNA". It matches the Rfam family "Bacterial small subunit ribosomal RNA", at positions 28 to 507 of the family's 1533-position model. The record is from RNAcentral.